AAGGCACGGCUCAACACAUUCCGUGCAGUUUGGCGCAAUUAUAGCGAGAUGUAAAUGAGUGGUCCUAGUUUCAACAUUGGGUUUUGUCCUUCCAUCAUGGGUAUACUUUUGUGUGGCGAAGCUGCUCCAUGAUGCUGGCCUUCCUAAGGGUGUUCUCAAUAUGAUUUCCAUAUAUGGUCUUACGGAUGGUGCAACACUUGCUAGUCAUAUGGAUGUCGACAAGGAUCAACUAUAACCGGCAAAAUUGUUUCUGAACUGGCUGGUUGAAGCAACCUUAAGCCAGUGACUCUGGAGCUUGGAGAGAAAUCUCCAUUCAUUGUAUGUGAAGAUGCCGACAUUCACAAGGCUGUUGAAACUUCCCACUUCGCUCUAUUCUUUAACCAGGUUGGGAUUUAUGAACUUAAAGCCAGGUAUUAUGGAGAACUUGACGAAAAAUGUUGCAAGGAUAGCUUAGGGAUGAUUUGUGCUUGGAGACUAGUGUUUGGGAAAUGCUCAG
Papaver somniferum (opium poppy) is the source of this 496-nucleotide long non-coding RNA. RefSeq lists it as uncharacterized. Lineage: Eukaryota; Viridiplantae; Streptophyta; Magnoliopsida; Ranunculales; Papaveraceae. The record is from RefSeq and is a predicted model, not a curated record. The transcript is spliced from 5 exons.